Molecule: long non-coding RNA, 4557 nt
Filed under: Xyrichtys novacula (pearly razorfish)
Lineage: Eukaryota; Metazoa; Chordata; Actinopteri; Labriformes; Labridae
Rfam family: let-7 microRNA precursor family (bases 4386-4466)
Source: RNAcentral
GGGUUAAAUCUGUAAAUCUGUAGACAGGAAGGGGUCUGAGGUAUUAGAUGAGUUUGUGUUGUUUGACUUUGAGCUGCAUUCAAGUUACACCUCCUCCGGUUUUAGUGGUACUGUGUGUGUGUUUGUGUCUCAUUGUGAGAGUGUGUAAGAUUGAGUGUGAGAAUUUGUCGGUUUGAGGUUUGUUUUGUAAAGAGAAAUAAAAUGAAGCAAAAAGAAAAGCUUGUUCGAUAUUUAGCAUUUUAUUUUCAAAAGAUUCAGCAACAUGAAGUCUCCAAGAGAGAAAACCACAAAGUGUGUGUGUGAGUGUAAGUGUGUUUUUUUUUAAUUUUUUACAAAAUUCCUUGACAUAAAUUAAGCUUUUAAAUUUAAAAAUGUGGUUAAUUCACUAGAAAUGGCAAAUAUCAUAUACAACCUUAAAUCCGUAAUUUUAGGUUUUGUAAUAAUAUUUUUAAAAUAUGAUUGAAGGUUAUUUUUCAGCUUUUUUCCUCAUUUUUAAAUUUAUGCAGGAGUCUCACUUUGAACUCUGAAAAUGUAGUUUAUUAAAUUGGACAAAACUUCAAUUACACUCUCUAAUAGAGGACGGUACUUUGACUAGAAUGACUCACUUUGACUUCUGAGCAAGUGUGUGUGUGUGUGUGUGUAUGUGUGUGUUUCGGUGUGUGUGUGCAUGUGUGAGUGUAUAUGUGUGUGUGGUAAUGUGGUUAAAUAUUUAUUUAUAUUUUGUGUUGGUGUAUGUAAUUCAAAAUGAAAAGAGGAAAAUGUAUUUUGGUUAAAAUCAUUGAUUUUAUUUUAAAAACAGAUAUGAUUUUUUUUCUUUAAUGCUUUGAUGUUUUUAAUCUGCAACCAUUGUGAAGCUUUUACAUUUUAUUUUUAGAAACUAGAAUUAUGUCACAUUCAAAAAACAUUAAUUAAAAAUAAAAAAUCUACAAAAAUGUUGAACAAAAAGCUAACUGAAUUUAUUAUUCUAAUGAAGCACAGUAAUUUAUUCCCUCUGGUAAUUUAUGAAGCUGUUUUCCUCAGCUUCAUCCACACACACGAGUGAUUUUGGUGAUGAAGUUAUUGGGGUCUAAAAUCAGCUGCAGUGUUUGGAGCUGUGAUCCCUCUGUCACGUGUCCUAUCAGCCCUAAUGAUUCACUCAAGGAACUGCUGCCUGGCAGGUUUAUGACCUUAAGGCUACAUGGAUACAUUGGUGUGUGUGUGUGUGUGUGUGUGUGUGUGUGUGUGUGUGUGUGUGUGUGUGUGUGUGUGUGUGUGUGUGAGUGUGAGUGUGUGUGAUUGUUUUGUGAUUAUAUAUUUGCACAGCAUUUUUUUAUGAAGACCUGACUGUGUGUGUGUAUCUACAACUACAGUGACAUGCUUUUUUCCUCUCUUAUUUGCAGGGCUCGUUGUUUUCAGUUCAGCUCAAGCCUGGAAGUCAAGGUAAAGUGCAAUAUUCUGUCUUUUAAAAUGUUCUUGUCUUACAUAUUUACUUCACUCUGUGUGUGCGGGAUCCUGUGUGUGUUUGCGUGUGUGUUUGUGUGAAAGAAUGCCACCACACUGUGAUUUCGGGCAGGUCUGCUGCAGGGAUUAUGAAUCCUCCGGUUUCCUCCCCUGCAGCCUGCGUACACACAACGCAAUUUAUACAGUUUGUCAUGAGUUUAUUGAACACAGUCCGGCCCACAUUGUUCCCAGCACACAGCAGUGACUGUAGCAGUGAGCGUUGUGUCCCAUCAAAACCCACUCUGGAGCAUUGUGUGUGUCAUGUCAUCUGAAUCAGUAAGUCUGCGGUGCGGCUCACUGAUAAUCUCCUCAAAGAAAAUUAGUCGGGGAAAAAUGGGAAAAGAAAAGCCAUCAGCCUAAAGGUCAAAUGAAGAUUAGAGGGAAACAGUACACGAGGGCACACCGGCUGGCACCCGGAACUGCACAAAGGCCUCAUUGUGGCAGGAGCCCUGGGCUCUCCUCACACUCUCCUAGUGUUCGUGGGGAGUCAUGACACCUGUUGGUGACUUUGGUCAACUGCAGGAGAAGUGACCUGACGCCUCUAAAGCCUUUAUUUUGAUUUAAAAGAAUUCCUAAACCCCCAACUGUCCCUCAUAAUUUUAGAUGCAUUACAAUGCAGUAGAGACAAAUACUGGACAACAAAAAAAGAGUGUGAUUCCAUUCAAAUGAUUAAAAGAAAGUAGAAAGAAAAGUACAUGCCUUUUAUCGUACUGAUCCUGAUUCAGCAGCCGUAGUCCACUCCAACAGGCAUAUAGGGUCCGCUCUCCUCACUCACUACAGUGGUUAUUGUCAAAUAACUUAAAGUUUUGCUCCUGAUAGUUUAACACAGUUUAAGGGUUUGUUGAGUUGUGUGUCAAAAAUGUUCUUGGAAAGUUUUGCUGCAGGGUGUUUUACUUCUAUUUAAAAAAAAAAAAACUACUAUGACGUGUUUGACAGACUGAAGACGACAAUCUUUUCAGGUAACUGCUGUAGAAAAAAACAGAGAUAUGCAACUAAAGACACAAGGUUUAUUCAUCAGUCUGCAGUCUAAAUAUGAAUUCAACACUUGGGUAUUUUCAAUUCUGUGCUGUUGUUUAGGCUUUAAAAACAGCAAAUUGCAAAAACAAAUUUCCCCUCUGAUAUUUCUGCCUCUUUUAGGACAUAAUGUUGUAUCACAACAAUCACAGUGAUGACAAAUUACUUUCACAUUUAUAUUAUUUUUAAUGUAUUUAAUUUAAAUAAAUAAAUGUCCAUAAACGGGUUCCUUGUGGAUGACCCAGACAUUAAGCCAGCGACUUUUAGAGAGUGUUUUUCAGAAAGAAUUGAAAAAGUUCAUGUUGAGGUCUCUGAAUUUGUCAGACCACAACAUUUUCAGUUUUGUCUGUAUUAAAAUUGAUACUUGCGUCACUCACAUCCUGUUAUGACGCUGACAGAAAUCUCAGAGACCAGCAGAGGUAACAGUAAAAUAUAUCCUCUCCAAAUGGCCUAAAUCUGCCCUUCAAGUAAAAGAGCUGCUCCUGUGUAAACCUGAUAACCGGCUGUACACACAUCAGCAGUGUAAGCAAAGAGUGCUCUGCUGUAUACCUCACAGGCCUGGACAUUAAAUAGCUCCUGUGAAGAUUUGUGUGGCAUUUAUGGGAAAACCAGCCGGCAAUAAAAUAGCCGCAAACUGGUGCGUUCCUGCGUGUGAGGAGCUAAAGCUGUGACUCACUUUUAUAAGUCGGACCUCACCUCUCAACCUCAGGUCCUCCCUGUCGCUCCCCAGCUUAAGGGGAAACCGCAGCCUCUCCUGUCUGACUCAGGAAACUCCCUGAAACAACCACAACCUGUCUUGUUUGACCUCUCAGCCACACACGUAGCGAAAUGUAUGCGCAUUUGCAUAAAGAUUUCCUGUGACACACAAAUAAGCUGCGGGCGAAGAUUGAGGGUGAAAAUUAAACAGAAUAGUUUUAGGUUAAUGGUGCAGUUUAUCACUUGUUACCUAAGCCAGCAGGUAACAGCACAGUCCCCCCUGCUGAUUGCCAAACAAGAUCCUCAUAAAUAAUCUAGAUAGAAGACGCUCUCACUCUCUCUGUGUUCAUGUGCAUGCAUACAAACUCCUGCAUUUAUAUGCAGGUGUUGAAAACAAACAGGCACAGAUUCGACUUUUCGUGCUUUACUUUCUGCUACACUUAUGUGCAGUUUUAUGUGCACAGGGGAGCACUGUCAGUAUGUGUAGGACAAGAGGUGAAAGUGUGACCUUUUGACUUGAAGUCGCAGCUCACUCCUUCUUCUCGUUUGUCUCCAUCAGGAUGAGGAAACCUGAGAGGACGAGAGCUGUUACAUGGCACAGACCUGCUGAGAGGAGCUGACUUAAUAGACAUGAAUGACCAGUAAGUAAAGAAAGGGCAUUUUUGGAUUUACAAAAAAUUCAAGCAUAAAGGUAUGAUCGUCUUUGACACACAUUUAGCUAGCUUAUCCUGCUCUGUCUCACAUCAGAUAUUGAUCUUAAAUCAAAGAACAAACAAUCAAAACACAGAAAAACAGUAAAGCAGUGAAAUUCAUCUGUAUGUUAGCAUGGAUACGAUACAUCCUCACAAGUUAAAACAAGUUUAGACUCUAUUUUCUAUCCUCUCUAAAUAGUAUUAAAGUCCUUUACACCUGAGUGUGUGUUUGUAAAAACGUAAAUUAUUGAAUUACAAUUCAAACAAUUGAAAUACAGUGGAUACAUUAGCAUUAGCAUGCUAAAGCAAUGGUAACCUUUAGUUCCUUGUGCAGAUUCAUUUGACACAUCAGUACUUCAUUAAAAAGUUUGAUUAUCUCAUGUCCAAAGGAUUUUAUUUGGACUUGAAACAACUGAAAUAUGAAAUUUCGCACAUUUAAAGUGUGUUUUUAGUUUUUCUUACAGCAGGUGGACCGUCAACAACAUGCUGGAGAAAAACUGUCCUUUGGGGUGAGGUAGUAGGUUGUAUAGUUUUAGGGUCAUUCCCAAGCUGUCAGAUGACUAUACAACUUACUGUCUUUCCUGAAGCGACUGUGAUGGCAUCAUCAUCAUCAUCGUCGUCGUCAUCAUCACAGAAGAAAAUAAACCUCCUCGCUCCAAAUCCUGAUCUCAACGGU